GAUCUACCGGCUUGUUCUUUCUGUCGCAAAUCCCAGCAAACAAACCACUUUCUCUAUAACCAACUGCUGGCUUUGAGUCUGUCCAGUUUUCCAUAUUUUUCAAGACACAAUUUUUAACAGGGGAAAGGGCAUCACUGAGUGAGCUGACGGGAAGAACUCCAGGUGCUCACAGUGAUUCUGAGGGAUUUGAGGGUCAAGCAGAACCUCCAGAAAGACACCCACCUCAGCCUUCCAGACACCAUGAUAGCAAUGCGGUCACAUAUGGCCUCAGCUUCAGCCAGAUCCCUCAAUCAAGGAUGCAGGAAACAGCGCCCAUCCCUCCAUUCCUGCUCUGCUGCGGACACUCUCUGAAAAGGUGCAGACAUCAUUUCUACUCUCCAUUCUUUUUUUUUUUUUUUUUUAGAUUUUAUUUAUUUGACAGAGA
Long non-coding RNA from Zalophus californianus (California sea lion), 424 nucleotides. RefSeq lists it as uncharacterized. The record is from RefSeq and is a predicted model, not a curated record. Lineage: Eukaryota; Metazoa; Chordata; Mammalia; Carnivora; Otariidae. The transcript has 3 exons.